CUCGGUGGCUCCUCGGAGCUCCGUCCGGCUGCCCGUGUCAGCCCAGAAAGGCUGCGGCCCCUCCGCCUGGCUCUGUGCCUCAGCCCGGCUGUUGCUGAGCGCUCGCCGUGUCGCUGUCAGGGGAGCACCGGCCAGCCCGGCGCAGGGCUUUGGGAGGCUGGAGAGGAAUGAGGAGCUGCCCCCCCCACGGAGCUGCGCCCCAUCUCAACACAGACGCGGUUCGAGAUGAUGUUGAUGUUUUUAUUUUUUGGUCAAUAAGUCCAAUUUCAGAUCUUACAAAUGCCAAUUUCAGAUCUGACCACUGCCAAUUUCAGAUCUUACAAAUGCCAAUUUCAGGUCUUCCAAGUCCAAUUUCAGAUCUUCCAAGUCCAAUUCCAGAUCUGACAAAUGCCAAUUUCAGAUCUUCCACGUUCAAUUUCGGAUCUUCCA
Long non-coding RNA from Lagopus muta (rock ptarmigan), 429 nucleotides. RefSeq lists it as uncharacterized. The record is from RefSeq and is a predicted model, not a curated record. NCBI's taxonomy places the organism in Eukaryota, Metazoa, Chordata, Aves, Galliformes, Phasianidae. The transcript is spliced from 3 exons.